AAAGCCCCGAACAUUUCGCAGAAAGAUUCUGUUCGGCUCUACGUGGCUUCGUCGUCGUCGUCGGCUGUCGAUUCGGUUUGGGAUCGCCACACCAGUUUUUCCCUGGCUGUCGCCCAAAAUGGACAUAUUCUGCGGGUAAGAGCGUCGAUUUCCGGCGGUUUGUUUUGUUUCGGUUUGUUCACGUGAACCACGGAGUCGAGGGGUAGGACAGAGGAUACGAUUUUUUGCGUUGGGAUGCUGUGUCAUGAUAAUGCACGAAAAUAUCGAUUUGUCAUCCAAGAGUCCUCGACUGUGAGAGUGCUGGAACGUGUUGAUGACGCGACAGUCGGUGAGAAAUAAAAGUGAUGAGUUCUCACGAAAUGAGUGCCAAAAGAGAAUAAGUGAUUGAUAAGUGUCAGUGAAGAUUCUGGAAGAAAGGAAGCAUCAAAAGGGCAGACAUGGCAAAUCAACGUUACCUAUCCACUGAGCGAGGACCGAUGGAAAAUUGUCACUCACGAACAAAACACAAUUAUCGGCGAUUCCGCAUCACAAUCAAACGAGUGCGAAAGAAAUCUGACGCUGAAGGGGACUGAACUACGCAGAAAUCGAUGAAACUGGAAUAAAAACUGAAUAAUGUUACGAUUAUGGCAGACUGGUCAAGGAAUACCCUGUCUGCCAUCAGCUGACAGCAUGUCAGGUGAAGAACUGAGUGCGCAUGCUUCAGAAAUCCGGUUCGCACUGUUUGACAGCUGAACGGAUUCCACCUCUGCAAGCUCCAACUGGAAACAAAAUAUGAUGAAUGCUUGAAAAAAGACAUUCGACGAAUAAUUAUUCCUUCUGGAAAGAGAACGAGUGUCGGUUCCAAAAUCAUAAAACAAAUCGUAAAUUAAAUAAAUAAUAAUCAAUUAUAAACAAAAAA
Culex quinquefasciatus (southern house mosquito) is the source of this 898-nucleotide long non-coding RNA. RefSeq lists it as uncharacterized. Lineage: Eukaryota; Metazoa; Arthropoda; Insecta; Diptera; Culicidae. The transcript has 2 exons. The record is from RefSeq and is a predicted model, not a curated record.